Molecule: non-coding RNA, 29 nt
Filed under: Homo sapiens (human)
Lineage: Eukaryota; Metazoa; Chordata; Mammalia; Primates; Hominidae
Source: RNAcentral
UUUCAAGCUUUAAAUUGAUCUGGUAUUGC